CUGUUCCUACGGGGCGCAGCAGUGAGGAAUAUUGGUCAAUGGGCGGAAGCCUGAACCAGCCAAGUCUCGUGAGGGAUUAAGGCCCUGCGGGUCGUAAACCUCUUUUGCCGGGGAGCAGAGGUCCGGACGUGUCCGGGCCGGGAGAGUACCCGGAGAAAAAGCAUCGGCUAACUCCGUGCCAGCAGCCGCGGUAAUACGGAGGAUGCGAGCGUUAUCCGGAUUUAUUGGGUUUAAAGGGUGCGCAGGCGGUCUGUUAAGUCAGCGGUCAAAGCCCGGGGCUCAACCCCGGCCCGCCGUUGAAACUG
This 305-nucleotide ribosomal RNA is filed under the name uncultured bacterium. RNAcentral's name for it is "bacterial SSU rRNA". It matches the Rfam family "Bacterial small subunit ribosomal RNA", at positions 333 to 635 of the family's 1533-position model. The record is from RNAcentral.